This 473-nucleotide long non-coding RNA is filed under the name Homo sapiens (human). Its description in RNAcentral is "novel transcript". Lineage: Eukaryota; Metazoa; Chordata; Mammalia; Primates; Hominidae. The record is from RNAcentral.
CCUAGUUUCCCAGUGCUGGAAUAUAGAAAAUGGAUGGACAAGUAAAUCCCACUCAGCACCCAUAGUCCAGCUGGACCUACCAUGAAAGACUUCUGAAUCCAAGAAGAGAAACUGACUGGGCAACAUGUUAUUCAGAAACAGGACCUUGCCCUGUCACUCAGGAUGGAGUUCAGUGGUCCUAUCAUGGCUCAUUAUAGCCUCAAACUCCCAGGCUCAAGCAAUCCUACCAUGUCAGCCUUCCCAGUAGCUGGGACUACAGGAAGUGAGCUCACAAUGACUCAAGCUGCCACAUACUGUUGAUUGUGAAAUGCCAGUUGAAGCAUAUGUCCUGCAAGCUUAGGGGUGCUACAAGUUGACCACUGCAGCAGUAAAGAUGACUCUGAAGAAUGGCGUGGGAUGGUUCCUUUCAAAUGCACUUGAGCAGCGGUCUCCAACCACAGGGCCACAGAGCUGGAGCUGGAUCUACCAUGAAA